This 869-nucleotide ribosomal RNA is filed under the name Bacillus sp. (in: firmicutes). RNAcentral's name for it is "bacterial SSU rRNA". It matches the Rfam family "Bacterial small subunit ribosomal RNA", at positions 22 to 875 of the family's 1533-position model. Lineage: Bacteria; Bacillati; Bacillota; Bacilli; Caryophanales; Bacillaceae. The record is from RNAcentral.
CCCGCAGACGACGCUGGCGGCGUGCCUAAUACAUGCAAGUCGAGCGAAUGAUAGGGAGCUUGCUCCCUUGAUUUAGCGGCGGACGGGUGAGUAACACGUGGGCAACCUACCUGUAAGACUGGGAUAACUUCGGGAAACCGGAGCUAAUACCGGAUAAUUUCUUUUCUCGCAUGAGAAGAGAUGGAAAGACGGUUUCGGCUGUCACUUACAGAUGGGCCCGCGGCGCAUUAGCUAGUUGGUGAGGUAAUGGCUCACCAAGGCCACGAUGCGUAGCCGACCUGAGAGGGUGAUCGGCCACACUGGGACUGAGACACGGCCCAGACUCCUACGGGAGGCAGCAGUAGGGAAUCUUCCGCAAUGGACGAAAGUCUGACGGAGCAACGCCGCGUGAACGAAGAAGGCCUUCGGGUCGUAAAGUUCUGUUGUUAGGGAAGAACAAGUACCAGAGUAACUGCUGGUACCUUGACGGUACCUAACCAGAAAGCCACGGCUAACUACGUGCCAGCAGCCGCGGUAAUACGUAGGUGGCAAGCGUUGUCCGGAAUUAUUGGGCGUAAAGCGCGCGCAGGUGGUUCCUUAAGUCUGAUGUGAAAGCCCACGGCUCAACCGUGGAGGGUCAUUGGAAACUGGGGAACUUGAGUGCAGAAGAGGAAAGUGGAAUUCCAAGUGUAGCGGUGAAAUGCGUAGAGAUUUGGAGGAACACCAGUGGCGAAGGCGACUUUCUGGUCUGUAACUGACACUGAGGCGCGAAAGCGUGGGGAGCGAACAGGAUUAGAUACCCUGGUAGUCCACGCCGUAAACGAUGAGUGCUAAGUGUUAGAGGGUUUCCGCCCUUUAGUGCUGCAGCUAACGCAUAAGCACUCCGCCUG